Camellia sinensis is the source of this 741-nucleotide non-coding RNA. NCBI's taxonomy places the organism in Eukaryota, Viridiplantae, Streptophyta, Magnoliopsida, Ericales, Theaceae. The record is from RefSeq and is a predicted model, not a curated record.
CUGAAUUGAAGAGAAAAACAAUUAAUUUUCCAAGAAUUAAGUGCUUUCAAUAGAUGAAAGUAGAAGAGGGUAAACAAAACCAUUAAGUCUGAAAUUCCAUAUCUUAAAAACACAGAAAUUAUCCAGAUCAACGAAAAUUUAAACCAAAGCACAGCUAUUUUAUUUGAUUCAAAGGGCCAUAGCAUCUGAAUCCACAAACUGGUUAUUUGAAAACUCAAAAAGAGCCCCAAGAAUCAUAAAGAUAUGGGAGAGGUUAUAGGAAAAGUUAUACUUUUUGAGAGAGAAGUUGUAUAUUUUGUGAGACGAAAAUUACAAUUUUUGUGAUGAAAGUUAUGAAUUUUGAAGUUAUAAUGAGCACCUAAAAGUUAUGUAUAACUAAAGAAUACUUUUUGUGAGAGAAGUUAUAUAUUUUCUGAGAAGCAAAAAAGUUAUAUUUAUAGUGAAGAAAAAAAGUUAUACAAAAUGAAGUUAUGUUUUUUGCAUAAGGUGCAUACGAUCACAUCAUAGCAUUCUCCUAAAGGGAUUUCAAGAAUUCUCCAACCUAUUUUGAAAUAUGUGGCUAUGGAAACAAAAUACACACUUCACAUAUUUUGAAGUACACAGUAUAAAAUUUUCAUCUGUGCCUCAAUCCAAGGAAUCCAAGCAGUUUCAGUGAUUCACAAGAUUAGCAAAAGCUUCAAUCAAGUUUUCCUCAACAAACCAAAAAAGACAAUAUGGAAACCAUACAGUAACACAAAGAAA